AACGAACGCUGGCGGCAUGCCUAACACAUGCAAGUCGAACGAGACCUUCGGGCUUAGUGGCGCACGGGUGCGUAACGCGUGGGAACCUGCCCUUAGGUUCGGAAUAACUCCCCGAAAGGGGUGCUAAUACCGGAUAAUGUCUUCGGACCAAAGAUUUAUCGCCUUUGGAUGGGCCCGCGUUGGAUUAGCUAGUUGGUAGGGUAAAAGCCUACCAAGGCGGCGAUCCAUAGCUGGUCUGAGAGGAUGAUCAGCCACACUGGGAGUGAGACACGGCCCAGACUCCUGCGGGAGGCAGCAGUGGGGAAUAUUGGACAAUGGGCGUAAGCCUGAUCCAGCAAUGCCGCGAGAGUGAUGAAGGCCUUAGGGUUGUAAAGCUCUUUUACCCGGGAUGAUAAUGACAGUACCGGGAGAAAAAGCUCCGGCUAACUCCGU
RNAcentral lists this ribosomal RNA (432 nucleotides) under uncultured bacterium. Its description in RNAcentral is "partial 16S ribosomal RNA". It matches the Rfam family "Bacterial small subunit ribosomal RNA", at positions 29 to 506 of the family's 1533-position model. The record is from RNAcentral.